RNAcentral lists this ribosomal RNA (406 nucleotides) under Verrucomicrobiota bacterium. RNAcentral's name for it is "Verrucomicrobia bacterium partial 16S ribosomal RNA". It matches the Rfam family "Bacterial small subunit ribosomal RNA", at positions 355 to 776 of the family's 1533-position model. Lineage: Bacteria; Pseudomonadati; Verrucomicrobiota. The record is from RNAcentral.
UGGGGAAUAUUGGACAAUGGAGGAAACUCUGAUCCAGCAAUUCUGUGUGUGUGAAGAAGGUUUUAGGACUGUAAAACACUUUUAGUAGGGAAGAAAAAAAUGACGGUACCUACAGAAGAAGCAACGGCUAAAUACGUGCCAGCAGCCGCGGUAAUACGUAUGUUGCGAGCGUUAUCCGGAUUUAUUGGGCGUAAAGCGAGCGCAGGCGGUUAGAAAAGUCUGAAGUGAAAGGCAGUGGCUCAACCAUUGUAGGCUUUGGAAACUGUUUAACUUGAGUGCAGAAGGGGAGAGUGGAAUUCCAUGUGUAGCGGUGAAAUGCGUAGAUAUAUGGAGGAACACCGGUGGCGAAAGCGGCUCUCUGGUCUGUAACUGACGCUGAGGCUCGAAAGCGUGGGGAGCGAACAGG